UAGGGAAUCUUCGGCAAUGGACGAAAGUCUGACCGAGCAACGCCGCGUGAGUGAAGAAGGUUUUCGGAUCGUAAAACUCUGUUGUUAGAGAAGAACAAGGACGUUAGUAACUGAACGUCCCCUGACGGUAUCUAACCAGAAAGCCACGGCUAACUACGUGCCAGCAGCCGCGGUAAUACGUAGGUGGCAAGCGUGGUCCGGAAUUAUUGGGCGUAAAGCGAGCGCAGGCGGUUUCUUAAGUCUGAUGUGAAAGCCCCCGGCUCAACCGGGGAGGGUCAUUGGGAACUCGUGGACUUAAGUGCAUAAGAGGCGAGUGAAAUUCCAUUGGUAGCGGUGAAAUGCGUAGAUAUAUGGAGGAACACCAGUGGCGAAGGCGGCUCUCUGGUCUGUAACUGACGCUGAGGCUCGAAAGCGUGGGGAGCAAACAGG
This 429-nucleotide ribosomal RNA is filed under the name Gemmatimonadota bacterium. Its description in RNAcentral is "Gemmatimonadetes bacterium partial 16S ribosomal RNA". It matches the Rfam family "Bacterial small subunit ribosomal RNA", at positions 355 to 776 of the family's 1533-position model. The record is from RNAcentral. Lineage: Bacteria; Pseudomonadati; Gemmatimonadota.